This 507-nucleotide ribosomal RNA is filed under the name Triticum aestivum (bread wheat). RNAcentral's name for it is "partial small subunit ribosomal RNA". The record is from RNAcentral. Lineage: Eukaryota; Viridiplantae; Streptophyta; Magnoliopsida; Poales; Poaceae.
AUGCCCCCUGUCCUGGUCAAAGAAGCACUUCACUUCAUGCUCGUGUAUGCUCGUGAUGGCCAUGUAGAAAUUCUCAAGUACGACUUGAGAUGUAGUUGCUUAUCACUGGUUGAUGUGCCGCUUGUGGGGCGUGGCAUACACGGUGCCGCUAUCCUCAUGGCGAUGGAGGAUGGUAGUUUGGGGUUUGCACAUGUGGAUGGGUUAACCCUCCACAUCUGGUCAAGAGAAAUGGAUUUCAACAGAGUUGCGUCAUGGAGUCAACGUACAAUUAUCGAUCUCAGGAAUCUUCUCCCCAUCCAAAAUACCGAUGAAAGACUUAGACUGAUUGGAUCCGUUGAGGGCAGUGAUACCGUUUUCGUGACCACGGACCUGGGCAUCUACGAGAUUAAUGUCAAGUCACAGCGUUGGAAGGAGAUAUGGAAGAGCGAGAAAUUUCGUGCUUUGAUUCCGUACAUGAGUUUCUACAAUCCACAAGAAAGGGUGAUGCCCUGUGACGCGGCGCAUUGA